This is a long non-coding RNA of Dioscorea cayenensis subsp. rotundata (Guinea yam), 535 nucleotides long. RefSeq lists it as uncharacterized. NCBI's taxonomy places the organism in Eukaryota, Viridiplantae, Streptophyta, Magnoliopsida, Dioscoreales, Dioscoreaceae. The transcript has 4 exons. The record is from RefSeq and is a predicted model, not a curated record.
AGAAAGAUUUGCCUCUCGAGAAUCCUAUAAAAGGGCUUGGCCAAGCAAAAUUAUUCAUCAUCAUCAAUCUCACGCAAAUUUGGGGGCUAGGGUUUGUUCUUUUCCACCCGUGAAUCAUGUCGUCCAAGCAAGGUGGGAAAUUGAAGCCCUUGAAGCAACCCAAGUCCGACAAGAAGGACUACGAUGAGAAUGAUCUAGCAAAUCUUCAAAAGAAGAAAGACGAGGAAAAGGCACUGAAGGAACUGAGGGCCAAGGCUCAGAAGGGGGCACUCGGCGGUUCGGGGCUGAAGAAGAGCGGCGGAAAGAAAUGAGGGUGUUACACUCUUGUAACAUUGUGAUAAUGUUGAAUUACUUAUCUGGGUGUGAAUCUCAUUAGUUCUUAUGUGACCUUCGCUACUUCUCCAAGGUCUUCUUAUCCCCUAUCAAUGCUUAUGUGGGUGGUGCUUGUACCUCCAAAUUUACAUGGAAAACUGAUGUUGAUGCGAACUCUUUUAUGGUUUAUAUGAAAUGGUAAUUACUAUUGUGUUAUCUGGAA